RNAcentral lists this small RNA (178 nucleotides) under Mycobacterium heidelbergense. Its description in RNAcentral is "Actinobacteria sRNA Ms_IGR-5". It matches the Rfam family "Actinobacteria sRNA Ms_IGR-5". Lineage: Bacteria; Bacillati; Actinomycetota; Actinomycetes; Mycobacteriales; Mycobacteriaceae. The record is from Rfam by way of RNAcentral.
ACACAGGGAAGGAGGUGGUCCGCGAAAUUGAUAGCUUCAUGGACAUGUGAGGUGGCUACGAGUUAGCUGCAUUGGCUCGGAAAAGUCGGCGCAAUGCACGCUGGCGAAUUCCCCGUAGCCACCCGGCCCCCGAGUUCCGGUCUGUCCAACCGAGAGCCUUGCUCGGGGGCCGCUCCAU